Long non-coding RNA from Seriola aureovittata, 449 nucleotides. RefSeq lists it as uncharacterized. The record is from RefSeq and is a predicted model, not a curated record. Lineage: Eukaryota; Metazoa; Chordata; Actinopteri; Carangiformes; Carangidae. The transcript is spliced from 3 exons.
CAGGUUUACACUGUCACGCUGAUCGCCACAGCCCUGGAGAAUGUGGAUGAGACAGCAGUGGCAGGGAAAAGAUUGCAUGCACACAGUUACAUGGCGUGUCCAGAAAUCAUCUGCUGAAUGAUUGAAUACAUGUCUGAUGUCAGCCGGCUGAUCCACCGGGAAAACUUCAUGCAGCAUAAUCAAGAUGGAUGGCCCACCUGCACACUGAGCAUACUUUAUGACUCUGCAGCUGCCCUCAUACAUUAGGAAGGAGCAGGACUGGAGUGUUCGUGUGAGACUCGCCUCCUGGCUGCAGGCCAUUAUCACACCUCCCACAGCGCUCAGCAGCCAGAGAGGGAAACUGUGGUUCAGGGGAAGAGGAGUUUUCAAGUCUAAUAAGAUUGUAAAGUGGUCCCCAACCUCCUUUGUCUGAUGCACCCCCAAAGCCCUGUCAGAUGAACUCAAGUACG